Molecule: ribosomal RNA, 507 nt
Filed under: uncultured bacterium
Lineage: Bacteria
Description: bacterial SSU rRNA
Rfam family: Bacterial small subunit ribosomal RNA
Source: RNAcentral
GAUCAUGGCUCAGGAUGAACGCUAGCUACAGGCUUUAAACACAUGCAAGUCGAGGGGAAACGACAUCGAAAGCUUGCUUUUGAUGGGCGUCGACCGGCGCACGGGUGAGUAACGCGUAUCCAACCUGCCCACACUUGGGGAUAACCUUGCGAAAGUAAGACUAAUACCCAAUGACGUCUCUAGAAGACAUCUGAAAGAGAUUAAAGAUUUAUCGGUGAUGGAUGGGGAUGCGUCUGAUUAGCUUGUUGGCGGGGUAACGGCCCACCAAGGCGACGAUCAGUAGGGGGUUCUGAGAGGAAGGUCCCCCACAUUGGAACUGAGACACGGUCCAAACUCCUACGGGAGGCAGCAGUGAGGAAUAUUGGUCAAUGGACGAGAGUCUGAACCAGCCAAGUAGCGUGCAGGAUGACGGCCCUAUGGGUUGUAAACUGCUUUUAUAAGGGAAUAAAGUUAGUCUCGUGAGACUUUUUGCAUGUACCUUAUGAAUAAGGACCGGCUAAUUCCGUG